UCCACCCCUUCUUUCCAACGGAUCGUCCGGCACGUACCUGCCGGGAGAGAGAGUCACCA
Kytococcus sedentarius DSM 20547 is the source of this 59-nucleotide non-coding RNA. The record is from Rfam. Lineage: Bacteria; Bacillati; Actinomycetota; Actinomycetes; Micrococcales; Kytococcaceae.